UCUUGCCUUAAUAUACUGCUAGUAUGUUUACUACUAAUAACAGCUGUGAAAAUACUAGUUUUUUUUUCUCCUCCAAAAACACUUGAGUGCACGCGUUCGUUCAGAAAGCAGAACAAGAACAACUUUUAAACAUUACCUUUUAAGUGAAGUAAUUUCUUCGCCACUGUCGUCACCAAACUGACCCUUUCGAACAGGUUUCCGAAACUCUCCCUGUCUGCAUCCGGACAAACUCUUUACUCAUGUAAAAACAUUACAGCAGCAAAUUGAACUUCCUGUGACAUGCCAUUUAAUAAACAUUGAAGCUGUUGAUUUCUUGUCAUCACGGUUCACAGUCUAAGAGAGCAAGACAGUGCAAACACAGGAUCUACACUUCAUUUAAAACAAUUUAAUCUUUACAUAUUUGUGUUUUUUUUAAUGUACAAUCAAAUCAAUCAUACAUAAAAUUCUCCAUAUUGUACAACUCUAGCACUAGUAUAAAUUAAAAAAAAAUUAGAUCAAUAUAUAACAACAUUUUGUUUUCUUCACUGAUUAACAGAGGAACAUCAAUUGCUAAUGAGAACACAGAAGCCCCACCCACAUGGCUCAAUUACUGUCAAUCAAUCGGGGGGGGGGUUCACCAUGGAAACAAAGCAAAAGGACAGAAUUUCACCAAUCAGUUAAAAGACAACACUUCGGCCUUGUUUUGGAAAAGAAAUGACCAUGCGCAUAUGUAAUUCAAAAUUAAAUUUAAGAAAAAACAGAUGGUAGUGCAACUGGUAGGUUAGUUUAACAUACAGCAAUGGUUACCACAAGUGUCAAAUUUACACAAAACUGUGCCACGUAUUUCUCAGGAAAA
This is a long non-coding RNA of Sinocyclocheilus anshuiensis, 835 nucleotides long. RefSeq lists it as uncharacterized. The record is from RefSeq and is a predicted model, not a curated record. The transcript has 2 exons. Lineage: Eukaryota; Metazoa; Chordata; Actinopteri; Cypriniformes; Cyprinidae.